This 839-nucleotide ribosomal RNA is filed under the name Clostridioides difficile. RNAcentral's name for it is "partial 23S ribosomal RNA". It matches the Rfam family "Bacterial large subunit ribosomal RNA", at positions 316 to 1156 of the family's 2925-position model. Lineage: Bacteria; Bacillati; Bacillota; Clostridia; Peptostreptococcales; Peptostreptococcaceae. The record is from RNAcentral.
ACGAAGAGGUAUCGUAAUUGAAGAGGUUUGGAAAGACCCACCACAGAAGGUAAUAGUCCUGUAUGUUAAACGAGAAGACUUCAGAUAUGAUCCAGAGUACCACGGGACACGUGAAACCCUGUGGGAAGCAGGAGGGACCACCCUCCAAGGCUAAAUACUACCUAGUGACCGAUAGCGUAUAGUACCGUGAGGGAAAGGUGAAAAGAACCCCGGGAGGGGAGUGAAAUAGAACCUGAAACCCUGCACUUACAAGCUGUGGAAGCACAUUUCUUGUGUGACCGCGUACUUUUUGUAGAACGGGCCAACGAGUUACGUUAAGUAGCAAGGUUAAGCACUUAAGGUGCGGAGCCGUAGCGAAAGCGAGUUUUAACUGAGCGUUCAGUUACUUGACGUAGACCCGAAACCGGGCGACCUACCCAUGAGCAGGAUGAAGCGAAAGUAAAAUUUCGUGGAGGUCCGAACCCACGAGCGUUGAAAAGCUCGGGGAUGACUUGUGGGUAGCGGUGAAAUUCCAAUCGAGCCCGGAGAUAGCUGGUUCUCCCCGAAAUAGCUUUAGGGCUAGCCUCAAGGUGAGAGAUACGGAGGUAGAGCACUGAAUGUCCUAGGGGGUAUUGCACCUACCGAAGACUAUCAAACUCCGAAUGCCGUCAUCUUAUACUUGGGAGUCAGACUGUGGGUGAUAAGAUUCAUAGUCGAAAGGGCAACAGCCCAGAUCGUCAGCUAAGGUCCCUAAAUGUAAGUUAAGUGGUAAAGGAUGUGGGAUUGCACAGACAACCAGGAUGUUGGCUUAGAAGCAGCCACUCAUUCAAAGAGUGCGUAAUAGCUCACUGGUCGAGUGA